GGCCCUCUGGCAUAGUGGUUUGAUCGUUGGACUAUGAUUCUGGAGACUAGGGUUCGAUUUCCAGCUUUGCCA
This is a non-coding RNA of Phrynosoma platyrhinos (Desert horned lizard), 72 nucleotides long. Lineage: Eukaryota; Metazoa; Chordata; Lepidosauria; Squamata; Phrynosomatidae. The record is from the annotation of a GenBank genome assembly.